This 224-nucleotide long non-coding RNA is filed under the name Elaeis guineensis (African oil palm). Its description in RNAcentral is "long non-coding RNA (EGUI_LNC061832)". The record is from RNAcentral. Lineage: Eukaryota; Viridiplantae; Streptophyta; Magnoliopsida; Arecales; Arecaceae.
CCCUAUUCAAAGGUGCCGUUACAAGUUCUUCAUCAACUAAAAGCUCAGCUAAUAUUUAUUCUUCUUGCUGAAAAGCUUUCUCUUCAUAUAAAUCUGAAUUUUUAUCCAUCUCUAAUCGGAUUGGUAUGUCAUAUACGCCUUUAGGUAUUAUUUUUUAUACAACAUACCAAUUACCUCAAUACUUUAGAUCCUUCAAAUAUAUUACUUAUUUCGCUUGAGUUGCU